Molecule: transfer RNA, 70 nt
Filed under: Datura stramonium (jimsonweed)
Lineage: Eukaryota; Viridiplantae; Streptophyta; Magnoliopsida; Solanales; Solanaceae
Description: tRNA-Pro
Rfam family: tRNA
About the family: Transfer RNA (tRNA) molecules are approximately 80 nucleotides in length. Their secondary structure includes four short double-helical elements and three loops (D, anti-codon, and T loops).
Source: RNAcentral
GCAUUUGUAGUCCAACGGUUAGGAUAAUUGCCUGGGCUAAUAGACCCGGGUUCGACUCCCGGCAGACGCA